RNAcentral lists this unclassified non-coding RNA (6633 nucleotides) under Nilaparvata lugens (brown planthopper). Its description in RNAcentral is "kv channel-interacting protein 4, transcript variant X1". The record is from RNAcentral. Lineage: Eukaryota; Metazoa; Arthropoda; Insecta; Hemiptera; Delphacidae.
GCGCAGUUUGGCUGUGUGAGUGAGUGAGUGAGUUGGCUCCUCAUUCCUCAAUUCAGUCCAGUUGCGUGACGAACGCCGACCCGAGAGGGACCAAGUCUAGUCGACUAUCCCUACAACACUUGUCGAGAACACACCAUCCGCAAAAUAACCUGUGCUCAUCCAUUACUGGCCCCUUCCACCACGUCUGCCAAUUGUUUACCCAAAGGGUUUCUCCAACAAGAACUUUCCAUUAAAGGUUUACUCACAAAUUUAAGUUCGAAAACUCUAUCAAUUAACUCUCGAAUAAACUUUUAGUGCAUUCUUUCAACUCCUAUCUCGUUGCUGAUACGUGGUCACCUUUCUGAUAAUGAAUUGGAAGACACAGAGACGCAGCCGAGAUACAGACCCGAUAGCUUGAGAUCUUUAUGCAGAGCGACGAGAUUCACCGAAGCUGAAAUAAAAAGGAUUUACAGAGGGUUCAAGGCUGAGUGCCCAACAGGCGUGGUCAAAGAGGACACAUUCAAAGGAAUCUAUGCACGGUUCUUCCCCCAAGGAGCUAACACCAGUCAAUACGCGCACUAUGUUUUUAAUACAUUGGACCAGGACCGAAGCGGCCUUCUUAGUUUUGAGGAUUUUGUACAUGGACUAUCGAUAUUAUCGCGGGGCUCGUUGGAUGAGAAACUUCGCUGGACAUUCUCGCUGUACGACAUCAACGGCGACGGGCGGAUAACGCGAGAGGAGAUGACUGACAUCGUAAACGCGGUCUACGAUCUCAUGGGAAAGUACACCGAGCCGGGCAUCGAGGAUAAUGCCGUCACCUCCAAGGUCGACUCCAUUUUCCAGAAAAUGGACCGGAAUAACGAUGGUGUAGUGACUUUGGACGAGUUUUUAGAGUGCUGUUUGAAUGAUGAAGAUAUAACUAACUCUAUGGCUGUGUUUGACUCAUCCAUUUGACAAGAGUUUGUGAGGAAUGGGGAUGCGAUCACAUUAGAUUUGAAUGGAUAGAAGCUCUCCAACUCUAUGACAUUGCUUAAGUAUGAUGAAUUUGCCGUACCGUAAUCAAAUUUGAAAUCAAUGCGUGGACAAACAUUGAGAAAAUUGAAUUCCCAAUUGGCUGGACAAUCAACAUAAAAUAAAAUAAUCUAAAUUUAUGGUUCGUCUCAAGUUGACUUCCAAUAUCGGUAUAUUUUGUCGAAUUAAAUGUACGGUAUUUUAAACGUGUAAUGAGUGUAAGUAUGUGUUCAAUAUUAACUUGUUUUUUUAUAAUAGAAUAAUAAUAAAGUUGUCAAAAAAGUAUCAAGCCAAAAUGUAUAGGAUAAUAAAUACGUUUCUUCCAUCCAACAAAUACAUCAAAUUAAACGAAUUUAUAUAUUGUAGUAGCUUACUUAAAUUGCAAGAAAAAGACGGAAAACAUAAAAAGAGAUACAAAAUUGAAGUCUUCAACCAUUGCCCGGGUUCAGAACUGAAUUAUUCAAUUUCCUAGCAAUAUUUAGAGGGAACAAAAAAUUCAAACUACUAUGAUUCAGUCUUAUGUUACAUCACAGAAUGAUUACGGUAUAAUUGUUGUUCAUAACAGUAUCACAAUCAGGUUUAAUAUAUAUUAAAAAAUACUCCGGGUUUAAUAAAAAUACUCCAUAAUAUUCCUCUCGAUUCAACAAUCUAAAAUGCAGUUUUCGAACAAUAAUGCCGAAUAUUAGGAACAAGAUACUGCUGUGUGUGUUUAUUUUGAUUAUUUCAAUCACAAUUAAUAAUUAGUAGUCCCAUAACAUCAAGUUGCAGGAUUUCAUGCACUGGUAAAUUAUAACAGUUCAAUCAUGAAAUUGGUUGAUGAGAUUCCAUGAUACAAAUUAUCCAAGAACCAUAAAAAAUAAUAUUUCUGACACUGAGAAUCAAAGGUCAACUCCAAAUCGUAUUGCUGUGUAAUGUAGGCAUGAUAAGAAAUAUUCACAGGUUGAUAAGCUGAGAUCAGAGAAUAUAAUAAUUGUUGGAAAAUGCUGGCUAUUUCAAUAAUAUAGGCUAUUUUAAUUUAUAUUAUUAAUCAUAUAUUCGAUUCAAUUCUUCAUCGAUUGAAAUUGAAGUGAAGUAUUUUCUUCCAACUUGAUACUAUUUUCAAAUUAUUGGUUUUUAUUCCAUAACUGUAUCUACUCGUUUAUUAAUAAUUGAAAAAUGAAAAAUAUCAUUAACCACUAAUUUAGACCUCCUCCUUGAAUUUAACCAAGGAUUUAUGUCUAUUGGAAAGAGUAAUGGUUUAUUUAAAGUUCUUGUUCCAAAUCAUGCAGAUCAUAAUCAAUCUUCACUGCCUUUUGUGAGCUGUGAUUAUAUCAAGUUGUCCCAAAUCCUAAUUCUAUUUUACUUAUCACAAUCCAAAUAGAACAACCGAAAUCCACAAUUCGCCGGAAAUCUAAUUCUCAUUAUAAACCAUUCAUAGUUCAUUGGCUCACACUUUUUGUUGAACAAAGCUGAGAUUCUUUUCUAUCAAUUGGUCAAUUGUUUUUCAGUGAAACCUUAUAUAAUUAUCAUCUCAGAAGGAUACUAUUAGAACAUUUUUAACUAUUGAUGAACUACUUAUAUUCAUUAAAUUCCCCAUGGGGUGUAAGGAUAGGGCUCAUGAAGAGUUGAAAUAUCAACUCAAGGCUCAUACUUCAUUCCAAAACAUUUCAAUCUCUUGCCAAUAAUAUACAGAACUACCUAACUAUGAGUUCUUUGUUACCUGUUCCUGUAUAAAUAACCAAUACCGUAUUGCAGUUUAUCAUUGAGAAGCUCAUAUCAUUUUUUGAAACAUAGCCAGAAACCAUAGUGCGGUAGUUCUCCUAAAGUAUUCAAAGAGGAAAGCUGAAUUUAUCAGUCAGAAAAACAAUAUUUUAUAGUACCGUAAGGCUGUGAAUAUUGGAUCUUAGUUGUUGUUAUCCUGCUUAUGAUUAAUUGUGAUUUACUGCCACUAUAGUGAUUAUAGAUAAUAUUUUGUGGGUAUCCCAAAUUUAUUUAUGUGAUAAAAACCUUCCAGUUUGUCCAUCUUUUUAAUGUAUCAAAGCAGCUUGGAAUAUAACACCAAAAUUUUAUCAAAUUAUAUAUUUAGUACUAUAGCAUAGUAUCAAUAAGAUCCAAAUGGAAAAGUAAAACAAUUAGGAGUAAUAGGUAUCGCAGAAACUUGUACAGCUGGAAUUUCAUAGAUAUACUAGUCAGUCUUAGAGAAAUAUAUAAUUGUUCACAUUUAUGUACAUUUUUCUUUUGAGUGUAUAAAAAAUCAGUGUACAUAAGCUAUCAAAACUGCACAAGAUAUGUUUCGUAUAAGUAUUUAUUUGUUAAUUUGUAAAAUAAGCACAUCAUUAAAAUGAUAUUGAGAGUAUUUCUCACAAGUUUGAUGCUACAGAUUCCACCAUUGGGCUAAGUAGGAGGAGAUCUGAAGUUAAACAUCUUCAUUGAUCUUUUAUGAAUGGGAAAUAGAAAUCCAUUCAAGUUUUACAAACUUGGAUUAGGGAAAAAUAGAAGAAUUUCUAAAAAAAUAAUCUGAAAGCUGUCUGCUCUAGACCAAGCAUAUCAUAAAAUAUAGAAGAGAAACAACAAAAUUUGAUUUGUACCGUACGUAAAUAAUGUUAAAUAUAUUUUUAAUUGUGGGUGUACGUCUAUUACUCUAUAUCCUGAACAGUCGAAAUAUAGGAUUGGUGUUGUUCAAUUCUAUUUAACUAUAUAACUGCUUCUUCCAUGAACUUUUUAGAUUAAUGAAAAAAUAAUAACUUACUUACUCAUAAAGAAAUUAUCCAAUUUUGAAUAUAAAACAAGGGAUGCAAGAUGAAUUUAUUUAUUGUUGCUAAAAUAAUACAAUAUAUCGUUCUCUAUGAUAGCUUAUCAGAAUUUCAUUCCAUCACGGGAAAUAUCAAAUAUUGCGGAUUAUAAACCGGGUUUUGGCACUAUACUUGUGUGUAUUGUGUACAAUAUUACUAAUAUCAUUAAAAAUAUUCCUGAAUAUAUUGCAAUAUUCUUGGACUGGAUUUCAAAAGUGUACGGUACUCAAUAAAGUGUCUCAAUCACAUCAUGUCAGUUCUUAUGUCUUUAAAAAUGGGGAUUCUUUGAUUUGAAUUUCAUUCACUGUUUGAUUAAUUGAAUAUUUCAGUGUGUACUGAUUGUGUACCUUUUCAUUACUCAUAUAUUAACUUUCUGUGUUGCUGUGAAUGUGUGUGGUAGAUAUCCCAUUAUUGAAAUAAAUCGACGUCAACUUGGUCAAAACCACUAACUACGGUAUUUAAAAUUGCGGCUUUACACCAUCAGUAACUCUAGUUAGGUACUAUGUAGUAAACUUGGAACUUUAGUUUACUAAAAAUUGGUGAUGUUUCAAUAAACGAAACCAGUAUCUCCAAUUGUUUCAAUAAAUCAGUAGUUGCUGAUAACUUCAAAUCUUUACCAUUCAAUACUUAUUUAUCAUACUGUAUAUUACAUGAACUAUCAAUAGAUAUUGAAUUGAAUAAUGGUAGAUCGUAGCAUAAAUAUCAAUUUAUGCAUGAUGUGAUUGAGAAAUUCAUAGUUGAACGGAUUUUUCAUAGAAGAAUUAAUAAUUAAUCAGACCUAUAUUAUGAAUUUUUCAUAUUCAAGGAUUUGAAAAUUAGAUGUGGUAAAAUUUUCUACAAAAGCGCAUAAGUCCAUCAAUUCCAAAAGAUUAUCAUAAAAAACCUUAAUCUGAUCUGCAGAACACAAACGUGUGAAGUAUUUGUUGAGCAAUUCUGCAGAAAAUGUAUUUUUUCGGGCUCAUAUUGUCCAAUCGACGCAUCAAUUUGUCAAAAGCAUCAUGAAUCUAGAUAUACUUGCAACUUACUACCCAUUGAUAUUAGAGAUAGGCAUAGCAAAAAAUGUAUUCCAUGUUUUAUAAGGACCAUUUCAAUUCAAUAAAAUAAGUGUAAGUGAAUACCCUUCGUCAUUUCAACUUACAUUUCAAAUUGUACGUACCAAUUACUAUUAGAAAACUGUGUAUGUAUUGCAUGUCGGGUAAUCGAAAAUAGUUAGUUGAAAUGCCAUUAAGGUGAUGGAUGUUAUCUAUUUAAGAUAUUUGUCUAGAAAUACUACCGGUCAUUUUAGGAUUACAUGAAUCGGAUUUGUAUUUAAGAAAGAAAAGUUUAUAAGAUGUUUUGUAACAUAUUUUCAUAGAAUUACAUAUGUACAUACUAUAAUGACUAUUGUAACCACAAUAUUAUUAGAAAUCGGAUGAAUAUAUUUAUAGAUGUUUAUUGUUAAAGUUGCGUGGUGAUAUGUUUCUCUUGUUACGUGUUGGAUGUUUAAUCUGGUCUAUAAAUCGUUGUUAGGUCGAAUAGUUUAUUUAUUGAUCAUAAUUUACUAUAGACGUUAGCUAUUAUUAUUGGUGAACAUUGUACUGUAUCGUUAGCUUACUAGUUGGUAAGUCCAACAUUGUAUGUGCUAAAUGAAUGUUUGAUGCCUAAAUUGAAUUAUCAAUAUGUUUGAGAUGUGUAUGUUCAACCGGAUCAAAGAUAACUGUUGAAACCCUAUUGUUAUGCUGGUUUCAUUUCAACCCUCACAAGGACUAAUUAUUUGAAACUCAGAUUUAUCAUACAAAAAUAGAGUUAUCUGGUUAUCAGAUGAGUAGAAAUUGAAUAAAACCUGAUUGAAUGUCUUGAUCAGUCUGUUGUGAACUGAUAAAUUCUUGCAAGCUUUCAACGUAGUCAUGUAAUAUUACUGACUAUUUUCAUGAGAGAAAAUUAUUUAGAAAACUGGCCUAUGGUAAAUGAAAAAUAGGCCCACCUAGAUCGUUAAGCUCCAAGCUAUCAUUAGGAUGCAAUUAAAGUCACCCUACUUACCUACGAUUUGUCUCCGACACAACAUUAAACACACUCUCUAAGUAUCAAACUCAUGAAACUCCUGUAGGCUACGAUAUGGAAUUAAUUGUAUUAUACCUCUUAUAUGGGAUGUAUCAUGACAGUUUGAUAUAAUACAUCAAGCGUAGCGUAAGCCUAUCAUAAAGGAUAUUGACAUUCUUGAAAAUAAUGCUCUUUUUAUAGUAAAUUAGGUGAAUAGUCUGAUCGGAUUGAGCAAAAAUUAGAAAACGAAAUUAGAUAGCCAAAUACUGAAAGAAUUUAUUAGUUUGUUAAUGCAGCUUCAGUAUCUUUUGAAAGAAGGUUCAAUAAAAAAUGGGAAUGUAAUUCACCAAAGGAGAUAUCCAAAUUUGAAUAAAUAGGUGGAAAAUAUUGGAGUUAAAACUGUUGUCAAAAAGUUUUUAGGGAUUCCUAAUAGAGAUAUAAUUCUUUAUUCUAGAAGUAGGCCUACCGUAUAUACAAUAGAUAUUCCCAUGAGUCUAGAAAAUCUACAGACAUUGGAUAGUAAAAUGCUUCUUACUCUAUAUGAACCUCAACAAAUAUGAAUAUGUUCGAACAUUUACUUUCCGGAGAACCUCAGCCUCUUUGGCUCAUGAGUUCGGUGAGAUUGAGUGGUUCCAGACUAUUUCACGCAAAUUUUAUAAGAAAGGAAUAAAUGAAUAAAUCUUCCUUGUUGUCUAGUUGAAACUAUUUUAUUCGAAUUCCAUCUUUUGAUGAUCCAUCUCUAUCAUUAUAAGUAUCAAUGGAUUUGAUUCUCCAAUGAUAGGGUGUGUCAUGAAGAGUAGUUUUGAGGCGAGCUCGACUCUCCUUCUGAUUUUUCAACGUUUUAUUGAACUCA